Molecule: ribosomal RNA, 553 nt
Filed under: uncultured archaeon
Lineage: Archaea
Description: bacterial SSU rRNA
Rfam family: Archaeal small subunit ribosomal RNA
Source: RNAcentral
CGGGGUGCAGCAGGCGCGAAAACUUUACACUGCGGGAAACCGCGAUAAGGGGACCCCGAGUGCCAGCACCUAGUGCUGGCUGUCCAGCUGUCCAAAUAACAGUUGUUAGCAAGGGCCGGGCAAGACCGGUGCCAGCCGCCGCCGGUAACACCGGCGGCCCGAGUGGUAGCCGUUAUUAUUGGGUUUAAAGGGUCCGUAGCCGGCCUAUUAAGUCUCUUGGGAAAUCUGGCGACUCAAUCGUCAGUCGUCCAAGAGAUACUGGUAGGCUUGGGACCGGGAGAGGUGGGAGGUACUCCAGGGGUAGGGGUGAAAUCUUGUAAUCCUUGGGGGACCACCGAUGGCGAAGGCAUCCCACCAGAACGGGUCCGACGGUGAGGGACGAAAGCUGGGGGCACGAACCGGAUUAGAUACCCGGGUAGUCCCAGCCGUAAACGAUGCUCGCUAGGUGUCAGGUGCGGUGCGACCGCAUCUGGUGCCGCAGUGAAAACUUGAAGCGAGUCACCUGGGAAGUACGGUCGCAAGGCUGAAACUUAAAGGAAUCGGCGGGGGAGCA